Molecule: ribosomal RNA, 435 nt
Filed under: uncultured bacterium
Lineage: Bacteria
Description: partial 16S ribosomal RNA
Rfam family: Bacterial small subunit ribosomal RNA
Source: RNAcentral
AACGAACGCUGGCGGCAGGCUUAACACAUGCAAGUCGAACGCGUGCAGCAAUGCACGAGUGGCGCACGGGUGAGUAACGCGUGGAUAUCUGCCUUUUGGUUCGGAAUAACCCCGGGAAACUGGGGCUAAUACCGGAUGGUUCCUACGGGAUAAAGAUUUAUCGCCAAAAGAUGAGUCCGCGUCCGAUUAGCUAGUUGGUGAGGUAAUGGCUCACCAAGGCGACGAUCGGUAGCUGGUCUGAGAGGACGAUCAGCCACACUGGGACUGAGACACGGCCCAGACUCCUACGGGAGGCAGCAGUGGGGAAUAUUGGACAAUGGGGGCAACCCUGAUCCAGCCAUGCCGCGUGAGUGAUGGAGGCCUUCGGGUUGUAAAGCUCUUUUGGCGGGGACGAUGAUGACGGUACCCGCAGAAUAAGCCCCGGCUAACUUCGUG